GACGAACGCUGGCGGCGUGCUUAACACAUGCAAGUCGAACGGAAAGGCCCUGCUUUUGUUGGGUGCUCGAGUGGCGAACAGGUGAGUAACACGUGAGUAACCUGCCCUUGACUUUCUGAUAACUUCAGUAGACUGGGCCUAUUACCCGAUAUGAGCUCCUGCUGCAUGUUGUGGGUUGGAAAGUUUCGGCGGUUGGGGAUGGACUCGCGGCUUAUCAGCUUGUUGGUGGGGUAGUGGCUUACCAAGGCUUUGACGGGUAGCCGGCCUGAGAGGGUGACCGGCCACAUUGGGACUGAGAUACGGCCCAGACUCCUACGGGAGGCAGCAGUGGGGAAUAUUGCACAAUGGGCGGAAGCCUGAUGCAGCAACGCCGCGUGAGGGAUGACGGCCUUCGGGUUGUAAACCGCUUUCGCCUGUGACGAAGCGUGAGUGACGGUAAUGGGUAAAGAAGCACCGGCUAACUACGUG
Molecule: ribosomal RNA, 468 nt
Filed under: uncultured bacterium
Lineage: Bacteria
Description: partial 16S ribosomal RNA
Rfam family: Bacterial small subunit ribosomal RNA
Source: RNAcentral